Molecule: ribosomal RNA, 734 nt
Filed under: Epilithonimonas hispanica
Lineage: Bacteria; Pseudomonadati; Bacteroidota; Flavobacteriia; Flavobacteriales; Weeksellaceae
Description: bacterial LSU rRNA
Rfam family: Bacterial large subunit ribosomal RNA
Source: RNAcentral
AGAAAUCGUUAAGGGCGUAUGGCGGAUGCCUAGGCUUUCAGAGGCGACGAAGGACGUGGUAAGCUGCGAAAAGCUCGGGGGAUUGGCACACACGAAUUGAUCCCGAGAUGUCCGAAUGGGGCAACCCGUCUGGUUGAAGACCAGUCACCCGCCGUAAGGCGGGAGCAAACCCGGAGAACUGAAACAUCUAAGUACCCGGAGGAAAAGAAAUCGAAGAGAUUCCGUAAGUAGUGGCGAGCGAAAGCGGAUUAGCCCAAAAGUCUUUAUAUGUUUAAUAGAAUGUUCUGGAAAGAACAGCCAAAGACGGUGAUAGCCCGGUAUAUGAAAGGCAUAUUUGGAUGAUAAAUGAGUAUGGCGGGACACGUGAAAUCCUGUCUGAAUAUGGGGGGACCAUCCUCCAAGGCUAAAUACUCCUGAAAGACCGAUAGUGAACAAGUACUGUGAAGGAAAGGUGAAAAGCACUUCGAAUAGAAGGGUGAAAUAGAACCUGAAACCGUACGCCUACAAGCGGUCGGAGCCCGCCAUUGGCGGGUGACGGCGUGCCUUUUGCAUAAUGAGCCUACGAGUUAAUUUUACUAGCGAGGUUAAGGACUUCAGGUCCGGAGCCGGAGCGAAAGCGAGUCUGAAUAGGGCGUAUAGUUAGUAGGAUUAGACGCGAAACCUUGUGAUCUACCCAUGGGCAGGUUGAAGCUUUGGUAACACAAAGUGGAGGACCGAACCGGUUGACGUUGAAA